AUGUUUUGUAUUUCUUUGUUUUGGCCAGGUAUGGUUCUCAAUCAGGGACAGCUGACUAUCGUUGUCUCUGAUUGGGAACCAUACUUAGGCAGCCCUUUUUCCCACCCUAAUAAUAAUGAUAAUUCCAGUGUACUCCCUUCAAUCAUUAGUUGUAAACUUCCUCAAUGGUCAUAUGUACUGCACCUUGGUCUUCCUCAAUGGUCAUAUGUACUGCACCUUGGUCUUCCUCAAUGGUCAUAUGUACUGCACCUUGGUCUUCCUCAAUGGUCAUAUGUACUGCACCUUGGUCUUCCUCAAUGGUCAUAUGUACUGCACCUUGGUCUUCCUCAAUGGUCAUAUGUACUGCACCUUGGUCUUCCUCAAUGGUCAUAUGUACUGCACCUUGGUCUUCCUCAAUGGUCAUAUGUACUGCACCUUGGUCUUCCUCAAUGGUCAUAUGUACUGCACCUUGGUCUUCCUCAAUGGUCAUAUGUACUGCACCUUGGUCUUCCUCAAUGGUCAUAUGUACUGCACCUUGGUCUUCCUCAAUGGUCAUAUGUACUGCACCUUGGUCUUCCUCAAUGGUCAUAUGUACUGCACCUUGGUCUUCCUCAAUGGUCAUAUGUACUGCACCUUGGUCUUCCUCAAUGGUCAUAUGUACUGCACCUUGGUCUUCCUCAAUGGUCAUAUGUACUGCACCUUGGUCUUCCUCAAUGGUCAUAUGUACUGCACCUUGGUCUUCCUCAAUGGUCAUAUGUACUGCACCUUGGUCUUCCUCAAUGGUCAUAUGUACUGCACCUUGGUCUUCCUCAAUGGUCAUAUGUACUGCACCUUGGUCUUCCUCAAUGGUCAUAUGUACUGCACCUUGGUCUUCCUCAAUGGUCAUAUGUACUGCACCUUGGUCUUCCUCAAUGGUCAUAUGUACUGCACCUUGGUCUUCCUCAAUGGUCAUAUGUACUGCACCCUGGUCUUCCUCAAUGGUCAUAUGUACUGCACCUUGGUCUUCCUCAAUGGUCAUAUGUACUGCACCUUGGUCUUCCUCAAUGGUCAUAUGUACUGCACCUUGGUCUUCCUCAAUGGUCAUAUGUACUGCACCUUGGUCUUCCUCAAUGGUCAUAUGUACUGCACCUUGGUCUUCCUCAAUGGUCAUAUGUACUGCACCUUGGUCUUCCUCAAUGGUCAUAUGUACUGCACCCUGGUCUUCCUCAAUGGUCAUAUGUACUGCACCUUGGUCUUCCUCAAUGGUCAUAUGUACUGCACCUUGGUCUUCCUCAAUGGUCAUAUGUACUGCACCUUGGUCUUCCUCAAUGGUCAUAUGUACUGCACCUUGGUCUUCCUCAAUGGUCAUAUGUACUGCACCUUGGUCUUCCUCAAUGGUCAUAUGUACUGCACCUUGGUCUUCCUCAAUGGUCAUAUGUACUGCACCUUGGUCUUCCUCAAUGGUCAUAUGUACUGCACCUUGGUCUUCCUCAAUGGUCAUAUGUACUGCACCUUGGUCUUCCUCAAUGGUCAUAUGUACUGCACCUUGGUCUUCCUCAAUGGUCAUAUGUACUGCACCUUGGUCUUCCUCUUUCGACAGCUGUGAAAAUGUAUUUCAAGGCCUACCUUCAAACUCAGUGGCUCUUUGCUUGA
RNAcentral lists this long non-coding RNA (1611 nucleotides) under Oncorhynchus kisutch (coho salmon). Its description in RNAcentral is "lncRNA (ENSOKIG00005012024.1)". The record is from RNAcentral. Lineage: Eukaryota; Metazoa; Chordata; Actinopteri; Salmoniformes; Salmonidae.